AUUCAAGUAGUUUAAUAUAAAAUUUUGAUUUGUGGAGUCAAGGAUAUAAAUUUUUAUCUUGGAUA
RNAcentral lists this transfer RNA (65 nucleotides) under Aromia bungii. RNAcentral's name for it is "tRNA-His". Lineage: Eukaryota; Metazoa; Arthropoda; Insecta; Coleoptera; Cerambycidae. The record is from RNAcentral.